This 253-nucleotide ribosomal RNA is filed under the name uncultured bacterium. Its description in RNAcentral is "partial 16S ribosomal RNA". It matches the Rfam family "Bacterial small subunit ribosomal RNA", at positions 524 to 776 of the family's 1533-position model. The record is from RNAcentral.
UACGUAGGGGGCAAGCGUUGUCCGGAAUCAUUGGGCGUAAAGAGCGCGUAGGCGGCCCUGUAAGUCCGCUGUGAAAGUCAAGGGCUCAACCCUUGGAUGCCGGUGGAUACUGCAGGGCUAGAGUCCGGAAGAGGCGAGUGGAAUUCCUGGUGUAGCGGUGAAAUGCGCAGAUAUCGAGAGGAACACCUGCGGCGAAGGCGGGUUGCUGGGCUGACACUGACGCUGAUGCGCGAAAGCUAGGGGAGCGAACGGG